This 301-nucleotide ribosomal RNA is filed under the name uncultured bacterium. RNAcentral's name for it is "partial 16S ribosomal RNA". It matches the Rfam family "Bacterial small subunit ribosomal RNA", at positions 509 to 809 of the family's 1533-position model. The record is from RNAcentral.
CAGCCGCCGCGGGAAUACGUAGGUGGCAAGCGUUGUCCGGAAUUAUUGGGCGUAAAGCGCGCGCAGGCGGAUCAGUCAGUCUGUCAUAAAAGUUCGGGGCUCAACCCCGCGAUGGGAUGGAAACUGCUGAUCUAGAGUAUCGGAGAGGAAAGUGGAACUCCUAGUGUAGCGGUGAAAUGCGUAGAUAUUAGGAAGAACACCAGUGGCGAAGGCGACUUUCUGGACGAAAACUGACGCUGAGGCGCGAAAGCCAGGGGAGCGAACGGGAUUAGAUACCCGUGUAGUCCCUGUCUCUUAUACA